GCUCAGCCUUAAACCUUAAUAGUUAAACAACAAAACUACUCGCCAGAAUACUACAAGCAACAGCUUGAAACUCAAAGGACUUGGCGGUGCUUUACAUCCCCCUAGAGGAGCCUGUUCUAUAAUCGAUAAACCCCGAUCCACCCCACCCUCUCUUGCUCAGCCUAUAUACCGCCAUCUUCAGCAAACCCUGUUAAAGGUUACAAAGUCUGCGCAAACGCCCUUCCCCGCAAAAACGUUAGGUCAAGGUGUAGCUUAUGAGACGGUAAAAAAUGGGCUACAUUUUCUACCCCAGAAAACCCCACGAUAGCUCUUAUGAAACCUAAGAGUUCAAGGAGGAUUUAGCAGUAAAUUAAGAAUAGAGUGCUUAAUUGAACCAGGCCAUGAAGCACGC
This 391-nucleotide ribosomal RNA is filed under the name Miopithecus talapoin (talapoin). Its description in RNAcentral is "partial 12S small subunit ribosomal RNA". It matches the Rfam family "Bacterial small subunit ribosomal RNA", at positions 794 to 1384 of the family's 1533-position model. Lineage: Eukaryota; Metazoa; Chordata; Mammalia; Primates; Cercopithecidae. The record is from RNAcentral.